AUUGAACGCUGGCGGCAUGCCUUACACAUGCAAGUCGAACGGCAGCACGGGUGCUUGCACCUGGUGGCGAGUGGCGAACGGGUGAGUAAUACAUCGGAACAUGUCCUGUAGUGGGGGGUAGCCCGGCGAAAGCCGGAUUAAUACCGCAUACGAUCUACGGCUGAAAGCGGGGGACCUUCGGGCCUCGCGCUAUAGGGUUGGCCGAUGGCUGAUUAGCUAGUUGGUGGGGUAAAGGCCUACCAAGGCGACGAUCAGUAGCUGGUCUGAGAGGACGACCAGCCACACUGGGACUGAGACACGGCCCAGACUCCUACGGGAGGCAGCAGUGGGGAAUUUUGGACAAUGGGCGAAAGCCUGAUCCAGCAAUGCCGCGUGUGUGAAGAAGGCCUUCGGGUUGUAAAGCACUUUUGUCCGGAAAGAAAUCCUUGGCCCUAAUACGGUCGGGGGAUGACGGUACCGGAAGAAUAAGCACCGGCUAACUACGUG
Molecule: ribosomal RNA, 486 nt
Filed under: uncultured bacterium
Lineage: Bacteria
Description: partial 16S ribosomal RNA
Rfam family: Bacterial small subunit ribosomal RNA
Source: RNAcentral